Molecule: ribosomal RNA, 432 nt
Filed under: uncultured bacterium
Lineage: Bacteria
Description: bacterial SSU rRNA
Rfam family: Bacterial small subunit ribosomal RNA
Source: RNAcentral
AACGAACGCUGGCGGCAUGCCUAACACAUGCAAGUCGAACGAGACCUUCGGGUCUAGUGGCGCACGGGUGCGUAACGCGUGGGAAUCUGCCCCUCGGUUCGGAAUAACACAGAGAAAUUUGUGCUAAUACCGGAUAAUGACUUCGGUCCAAAGAUUUAUCGCCGAGGGAUGAGCCCGCGUAAGAUUAGCUUGUUGGUGGGGUAAUGGCCUACCAAGGCGACGAUCUUUAGCUGGUCUGAGAGGAUGAUCAGCCACACUGGGACUGAGACACGGCCCAGACUCCUACGGGAGGCAGCAGUGGGGAAUAUUGGACAAUGGGCGAAAGCCUGAUCCAGCAAUGCCGCGUGAGUGAUGAAGGCCUUAGGGUUGUAAAGCUCUUUACCAGGGAUGAUAAUGACAGUACCUGGAGAAUAAGCUCCGGCUAACUCCGUG